GGCUGGUCUGAUGGUAGUGGGUUAUCAGAGCUUAUUAACAUUAGUGUCACUGCAGCUGGUAUACAAACCCCCACUGCUAAAUUUGACUGGCUUUAA
Molecule: unclassified non-coding RNA, 96 nt
Organism: Nomascus leucogenys (northern white-cheeked gibbon)
Lineage: Eukaryota; Metazoa; Chordata; Mammalia; Primates; Hylobatidae
Rfam family: Y RNA
About the family: Y RNAs are components of the Ro ribonucleoprotein particle (Ro RNP), in association with Ro60 and La proteins. The Y RNAs and Ro60 and La proteins are well conserved, but the function of the Ro RNP is not known. In humans the RNA component can be one of four small RNAs -- hY1, hY3, hY4 and hY5.
Source: Ensembl